GGUCCUACGCACAAAAAAAUAUAUAUAAUGAUUACUAACGAUACUUAUACACAAAAUCAACCAAAAACUGUAGUUGAUACAAACAAGAUAUAGUUACAGUAAUCUACUUAUUAGUUGAGUGUGUAAUUUGUUGGGAAAAAGUACCUCAAUAGAUGCUCCGAGUGUAUGUGUUUCUAUUUUUAAAUGGACCACAACAUUGAUCAUCUUAAACAAAAAUAGAUCGUUGUAAAAGCAAGCGGGCAAACGUUUGGAUAUUGUGAAACUAUUCCAUGAAAAAACUAAAAUGUAAAUAUAUUUUCAAAGAAACGUUUACAUGUAGAUGAAAUACAAAAAAAAAUUAUAUAAAUAAAUAUGCACUUUUAUACAUACCUUCAAAGCCUUUGAGGCAACGGCGGACUUUUCUAGCACAGCCUUCACAGUGCAUGUAAACCUUAAGGACAAUCUCUUGCGGCGGAGGAGGUGGUGCUGGAGCCUCCGGCGCCGCCGGUGGAGACUCAUCUUUGGAUUCUUUUGUAGGCUCUCCUUCUUGAGUUUUCUUCUCAGAUUCUUCCCCUUUUUUCUCAUCAGCCUCCACUUUCUUUUCUUCUCCUUCUUUUUUCUCCUCUUCUGGUUUCUU
Molecule: long non-coding RNA, 616 nt
Filed under: Brassica napus (rape)
Lineage: Eukaryota; Viridiplantae; Streptophyta; Magnoliopsida; Brassicales; Brassicaceae
Description: long non-coding RNA (BNAP_LNC013838)
Source: RNAcentral